Molecule: long non-coding RNA, 333 nt
Filed under: Mytilus galloprovincialis (Mediterranean mussel)
Lineage: Eukaryota; Metazoa; Mollusca; Bivalvia; Mytilida; Mytilidae
Source: RNAcentral
GCGGCGGGGUUAAACAUUUUUUUUUUUGAGAUCUCAACCCUGUUUUUGGUAACAGCAUAUGAUUUAAUAUUUACAUCAUUAAGAUAUAAUAAUAAUGACAAAAACCUACUUCGGUUUACAAAAAAAAAAAAAAAAAAAAAAAAACAUUAUUUAACCGUUGCUAAGCACUAUUUUGGUUGCUGAUCUUUUUAUCAGUAUGAUAUACAAUUGACUUGCUUUCAUUUCUUACUGCUAGUUAUUCUUGCAUGUAUUAACCAAUCUAACCUGAUUUUACUCUAAUUUGUACAAUUAAAAAACAAAAGGUUUUUUUUGUAGUUCAAUUUAAUUUCUAUC